RNAcentral lists this ribosomal RNA (335 nucleotides) under uncultured eukaryote. Its description in RNAcentral is "partial 18S ribosomal RNA". It matches the Rfam family "Eukaryotic small subunit ribosomal RNA", at positions 1470 to 1796 of the family's 1831-position model. The record is from RNAcentral.
CCCUUAGAUGUUCGGGGCCGCACGCGCGCUACACUGAUGGGGUCAGCGUGUUUGCACGUCCUGGUCCGGCAGGAUUGGGCAAUCCGUUGAACCUCCGUCGUGAUUGGGAUCGGAGCUUGUAAUUAUUCUCCGUGAACGAGGAAUUCCCAGUAAGCGCAAGUCAUCAGCUUGCGUUGAUUACGUCCCUGCCCUUUGUACACACCGCCCGUCGCUACUACCGAUUGAAUGGUUUAGUGAGAUCUUCGGAUUGGCGCCACUGCGGCUCAGCAAUGGGCUCGGUGGAUGCCGAAAAGUUGAUCAAACUUGAUCAUUUAGAGGAAGUAAAAGUCGUAACA